RNAcentral lists this long non-coding RNA (3213 nucleotides) under Homo sapiens (human). RNAcentral describes it as "non-protein coding lnc-CHSY1-5:2". Lineage: Eukaryota; Metazoa; Chordata; Mammalia; Primates; Hominidae. The record is from RNAcentral.
GCGAGGCGUCCCCUCGGCGGCCGCCUCAGUUUCCCUGGCCGUAAAACGCGGGCGAUGGCGCUCGAUGCCCCGGGAGACGCCGGGGUCCGCGGGCCCUUCCGGCACCGGGUCCUCCUUCAGGUUCGGGCACCCGGCUGCCUCCACGCGGGGCGAGCGCGGCGAUGGGAUCGGUCCGUGCUGCGCUCAGCCCCGCUUUCGCUAUCCCUCUGCUCCAGGGGCAGCAAAAUCAGCAGAUGAGCCCCCAGCGCGCCUGCGGCCCACACACUGCGGCCGUAACAGUUAAACAGACGGGGAACAUUCAUGUGCGUAGAGCUCUUCACGGGGCGAUACAGAAAUGUGUCGUUCUAAAGCGUUAACGACCUGCAAUUUGCAUAUCCUCCAACACAUGGAUUUUACUGAUUCAAUUAUGGAUGUGUGCAAAGAAUCUGCUGCUCGCUAUAUGGGAACACUUUCAGUUUCCCAAGUUAAAACAUGAAAUUGCACAUCAUCAUUUGGAUCCCCAAAGAGGAAAAGAAAAAUUCACAACCUGCCAGUGAAAUACUCAGGCCACUUGGAUGAAGACCGAGGUCCUCCAUAGAAUCCAGGUGUUAUUUACUAACUAAUCAGAAAUUAAUAUCAAAAUAGGACUUAAAAAUAACAAGGCUGUGUUAUUACAGCAGUCUUUCCAGUUGUGUACGCUUUACUAAUCUAAAUUGGGUAACAGAACUGGAGAAAAGGAAGACUACACAGACUUAUCAUAAGCUGUUAGUGAACGUGAUAGAAAUGCGUAAUUUGUUAAAGCGAAUUACAGCUCUGAUUUGUCAAAUGAGGAGGUGAAUUAUCCUAGGAUUUGCUAUGCUGUUGUGGCGUUAGAAGAUUGGAUCUUUAGCAGCAAAGGUAACCUCAACAAUAUUUUCUGCUUAAGAAAGUGCCUUGGUUAAGGUAGACCGUGAUAUCGUCUUUGACUAAGCUCUCUGGGCUAUUGAUUCUGUCAUAUUCCAAAGGCAGUAUUGGUUUGAAGCCGAAUCUCACGGUCAAUGUCAACAUGCAAUCCACAAAGACCCUGGCGCCCUUCCACGGUAUGCACUAACCAAAACUUUCUCACUGUGAAAUCCUUUUUUUAAAAACAAGAAAACAAAAAACAAAAACCAAAAAACCUUACUGUGAAUCCUUUCCCAAGGAAUGGUCCCACCUUCACCUCGGAAAGAGGCGUGGCUUGCUCUGUAAGCAGGUCCACCCUGAGGAGACCGCUGGUGCAAGAGCCCUGCUUGCAGAACACACAGGGGGUUUUCCCACAUUCUUACUGGAGUCAGAUUCGGCAAAGCAUUUCAAGCAACUGCUGGACACUUCAAAUACCACUCCCUGUUAACAACGCCCUGAGUAUCUCACUGUCUCCAGGAUCUGGUUUAAAGGGAAACACAGAAAUGGCCAACAGCUCCCUCCCCAGGCAGGACUGCGAUUUCACAGACAACCUAUAGGCAUCCCCAGUCUGGUGAAUAAACAGGAGAGUGAGAGGAAAACAGCAAUCAUUCAACUCCAGUAGAUGUAAAGCCUCCAGAAGAAUGUGUCCCGGGAAGGUCAGAAAUGUCAUUUUUUUCCUCCAGCACAUUUCAUCUGCCACAUUCCGCCGUCCGAUGUUUGAGGAAGGAGCCCCGCCUUUCCUUCAGGGGUUCUUGUCGCCAAGUUUGAUGGUGACAGUUUUCACUUCUGUGUAUUCGGCCAAAGCGUAUUCACCUCUGUGAUCACAGAAAAGAGGAAAAUUCAAAAUGGGUACAUCCCUUAGCCAUUGUGUAGAAACUGUUCUGAGGCUUCAUCAUUCCAUCAGGCCGUUGGAGGCUUAUGCAAAAGGUUAAAAUGUGACGACCUCAUGGAAUAAUAGCCAGGACUAUAACAGCACUAGUAAGUGUCAGUAGCUGCAUAUGUGACUUAAAUGUAAAUAUCAAGGUCUUCUUCUGUGUGAUGCUUUUGAAAUGGCCAGGACUAAGGGUUUCCCUUUAGAGAAUGAAGGGGAUUUUAAAAAAAGUAAAGAGGUGAAUUCCCUGGGGUGGCAAUAGAGAGCAAAACGAGAGAGCCUGGUGGACGGUGGGGUGUCUGUGAACGAGGGAGGGGCAGAAAUUACACUGGGUUGAUAACUUUUAGAUGGCAAUUGGGAGCUGCUUGAAGAGGAGACAGAAGAGGCAGAGGCCCAAAGCUAUUGGCUGGGGAUGUGGCCAGAGGACCAGUGGGAAGAACACCAAGGGCCUGAAGCUGGCCUCAGAGUGCACAGCUGGGGACCAGCUGUCAGGCAGUGAGGCCAGCCUAGGGGGCAUGAGAGAAGCAGACGUUAGCACAGAGUGGACAUGGGGAGGCCACAGCUUUUGGGUUCACAUCCUUGGUAUAGUUCCUUUCUUUAAAUCUUGCAGGGCUCAGGUGAUCCUUCCCUGGCACCAUGGGCCGUCUUCAGGGUAGCUUCCCUUCCAAGACCCAAGAGGCAGCUUUGGAGAGAUUUAAAUCCUUCUAAGCGCUUGAUCUGCUGUCAGGUGAAGAAAAAUGUGUGCUUGUUUAGGAAGAGAUGAAGGUAGAGGUGGCCACUGGAGUCUCUGUAGUUAAAAAGACCUGUGACAGAAUCCCAUCUCCUCCCUUAGAUCAAUGGUUCUCAAAGUGUGGUCCCCAGACCAGCAGCAUCAGCCUCACCUCUGAACUUGCUAGAAAUGUAGAUUCUCAGGCCUCCCCCAGCCCUACUAUCGUAGGCAGAAUAAGGAUCUCCCCAGGUAUCCAAAAUUGGAUCCCCCAAACCUGUGAAUAUGUUGGGCUACAGAGUGAAGAAUUAAUGUUGCAGAUGGAAUUCAAGUUACUAAUCAAUUGACUUUAAAAGAGGGAGACUCUCCUGGAUCAUCCAGGCAGACCCAGUGUAAUCACAAGGGUCCCCAAAACUGGCAGAAGAAGAGAGGCAGAGCAAAAUGAGAUUAUAGAAACAGGUUCAGAGAGCAGCAGUGCUGGCUUUGAAGAUGGAGGAUGGGGCCACCAGCCUAGGAAUGCGAGCAGCCUCUAGAGGAUGGAAAAGGCAAGGAAGUAGAUUCUCUCCUGAGAACCUCCAAAAAGGAAUGAAGCCCUUGAUUUUAGCUCAGGGAGACCUGUGUCAGAUUUUUAUCCUACAGAACUAUAAGAUAAUAGAUUUAUGUUAUUUAAGCCACUGAUGUUAUGGUAACUUCUUGCAGGAGCAAUAAAAGACUAAUAAACUUACUGAAUCAGAAA